GCCCGGGUGGUGGAAUGGCAGACACGGCUGGCUUAAACCCGGCUGCCGAGAGGCGUGCGGGUUCGAAUCCCGCCCCGGGCA
This 81-nucleotide transfer RNA is filed under the name Allocatelliglobosispora scoriae. RNAcentral describes it as "Micromonosporaceae bacterium Sco-B14 tRNA". It matches the Rfam family "tRNA". Rfam says of the family: Transfer RNA (tRNA) molecules are approximately 80 nucleotides in length. Their secondary structure includes four short double-helical elements and three loops (D, anti-codon, and T loops). The record is from Rfam by way of RNAcentral. Lineage: Bacteria; Bacillati; Actinomycetota; Actinomycetes; Micromonosporales; Micromonosporaceae.